This 301-nucleotide ribosomal RNA is filed under the name uncultured bacterium. RNAcentral describes it as "partial 16S ribosomal RNA". It matches the Rfam family "Bacterial small subunit ribosomal RNA", at positions 509 to 807 of the family's 1533-position model. The record is from RNAcentral.
CAGCAGCCGCGGUAAUACGUAGGUGGCAAGCGUUGUCCGGAAUUAUUGGGCGUAAAGGGCUCGCAGGCGGUUUCUUAAGUCUGAUGCGAAAGCCCCCGGCUCAACCGGGGAGGGUCAUUGGAAACUGGGAAACUUGAGUGCAGAAGAGGAGAGUGGAAUUCCACGUGUAGCGGUGAAAUGCGUAGAGAUGUGGAGGAACACCAGUGGCGAAGGCGACUCUCUGGUCUGUAACUGACGCUGAGGAGCGAAAGCGUGGGGAGCGAACAGGAUUAGAUACCCCCGUAGUCCCUGUCUCUUAUAC